AACGAACGCUGGCGGCAUGCCUAACACAUGCAAGUCGAACGAGACCUUCGGGUCUAGUGGCGCACGGGUGCGUAACGCGUGGGAACCUGCCCUUAGGUUCGGAAUAACUCCCCGAAAGGGGUGCUAAUACCGGAUAAUGUCUUCGGACCAAAGAUUUUUCGCCUUUGGAUGGGCCCGCGUUGGGUUAGCUAGUUGGUAGGGUAAAAGCCUACCAAGGCGACGAUCCAUAGCUGGUCUGAGAGGAUGAUCAGCCACACUGGGACUGAGACACGGCCCAGACUCCUACGGGAGGUAGCAGUGGGGAAUAGUGGACAAUGGGCGAGAGCCUGAUCCAGCAAUGCCGUGUGAGUGAUGAAGGCCUUAGAGUUGUAAAGCUCUUUUACCCGGGAUGGUAAUGACAGUACCGGGAGAAUAAGCUCCAGCUAGCUCCGUG
Molecule: ribosomal RNA, 433 nt
Filed under: uncultured bacterium
Lineage: Bacteria
Description: partial 16S ribosomal RNA
Rfam family: Bacterial small subunit ribosomal RNA
Source: RNAcentral